UGCUUGUCUCAAAGAUUAAGCCAUGCAUGUCUAAGAUCAUAUCGGUUAAUGGUGAAUCUGCGAACGGCUCAUUAAAACAGCUAUAAUCUACUCGAUUUUGAUAUCCUAAACGGAUAACUGCGAUAAUUUUGGAGCUAAUACGUGCACCAAAGCCCGGACUAACGUACGGGCGCACUUAUUAGAACAAGACCAAUCGGGCUUGCCCGUUCUGGUGACUCUGAAUAAUUUCGCUGAUCGCACGGUCUUGCACCGGCGACGUAUCGUUCGAGUGUCUGCCUUAUCAACUUUCGAUGGAAGUCCAUGUGACUACCAUGGUUGUAACGGGUAACGGAGAAUAAGGGUUCGACUCCGGAGAGGGAGCCUGAGAAACGGCUACCACAUCCAAGGAAGGCAGCAGGCGCGUAAAUUACCCACUCUCAAUGCGAGGAGGUAGUAACUAUCAAUAACGAGACAGAUCUCUUUGAGGCCUGUUAUCGGAAUGGGUACAAUUUAAACCCUUUAACGAGGAUCUAUGAGAGGGCAAGUCUGGUGCCAGCAGCCGCGGUAAUUCCAGCUCUCAAGGUGUAUAUCGUCAUUGCUGCGGUUAAAAAGCUCGUAGUUGGAUCUGAGUCUGUGGACGCGGUGCGCCUUUGGCGUAACUGUGCUCCCGGACUGUUUUGUUGGUUUUCUGCGCAUUGCCUUUACCGGUAGUGCGUGGUGGCUGACGCGUUUACCUUGAAUAAAUCAGAGUGCUCAAGACAAGCGUUUCGCUUGAAUAUUCGUGCAUGGAAUAAUGGAACAGGACUUCGGUUCGUUCUAUUGGUCUCAGAACCGAUGUAAUGGUUAAGAGGGACAGACGGGGGCAUCCGUAUCGCUGCGUGAGAGGUGAAAUUCUUGGACCGCAGCGGGACGUCCAACUGCGAAAGCAUUUGCCAAGAAUGUCUUCAUUAAUCAAGAACGAAAGUCAGAGGAUCGAAGGCGAUUAGAUACCGCCCUAGUUCUGACCGUAAACGAUGCCAACUAGCGAUCAGGUGGUGGUAUUGUUAGCCCUGCCUGGGAGCUUCCCGGAAACGAAAGUCUUCGGGUUCCGGGGGUAGUAUGGUUGCAAAGCUGAAACUUAAAGGAAUUGACGGAAGGGCACCACCAGGAGUGGAGCCUGCGGCUUAAUUUGACUCAACACGGGAAAACUCACCCGGCCCGGACACUGUAAUGAUUGACAGAUUGAGAGUUCUUUCUUGAUUCGGUGGUUGGUGGUGCAUGGCCGUUCUUAGUUGGUGGAGUGAUUUGUCUGGUUUAUUCCGAUAACGAACGAGACUCUAACCUGCUAACUAGUCUUGCGAUAAUUACGUCGUACGGACUUCUUAGAGGGAUCAGUGGUGUUCAGCCACACGAAAUUGAGCAAUAACAGGUCUGUGAUGCCCUUAGAUGUUCGGGGCUGCACGCGCGCUACACUGGAAGGAUCAACAUGCUCUUUUCCUGGGCCGAAAGGCCUGGGCAAACCUUUGAAAACCUUCCGUGAUCGGGAUAGGGAAUUGCAAUUAUUUCCCUUCAACGAGGAAUUCCCAGUAAGUGUGAGUCAUCAGCUCGCGUUGAUUACGUCCCUGCCCUUUGUACACACCGCCCGUCGCUGCCCGGGACUGAGUUGCUUCGAGAAAUGCGAGGACUGUUGCUAUGGGGCUAAUACCCCUGUGGCGAUGGAAAUCGCAUUAAUCGCAGUGGCUUGAACCGGGCAAAAGUCGUAACAAGGUGCGAUUAGGAGAACCUGACCGCGGAUCAUUGUCGAGCCUAAA
This 1769-nucleotide ribosomal RNA is filed under the name Tylopharynx foetidus. RNAcentral's name for it is "SSU rRNA". It matches the Rfam family "Eukaryotic small subunit ribosomal RNA". The record is from RNAcentral. Lineage: Eukaryota; Metazoa; Nematoda; Chromadorea; Rhabditida; Tylopharyngidae.